UGGGGUGUGGCUCAGGGGUAGAGUGCUUGCCUAGCAUGUGUGAGGCACUGGGUUCGAUUCUCAGCACCACAU
This 72-nucleotide transfer RNA is filed under the name Ictidomys tridecemlineatus (thirteen-lined ground squirrel). Its description in RNAcentral is "Spermophilus tridecemlineatus (thirteen-lined ground squirrel) tRNA". It matches the Rfam family "tRNA". Rfam says of the family: Transfer RNA (tRNA) molecules are approximately 80 nucleotides in length. Their secondary structure includes four short double-helical elements and three loops (D, anti-codon, and T loops). Further hydrogen bonds mediate the characteristic L-shaped molecular structure. tRNAs have two regions of fundamental functional importance: the anti-codon, which is responsible for specific mRNA codon recognition, and the 3' end, to which the tRNAs corresponding amino acid is attached (by aminoacyl-tRNA synthetases). tRNAs cope with the degeneracy of the genetic code in two manners: having more than one tRNA (with a specific anti-codon) for a particular amino acid; and 'wobble' base-pairing, i.e. permitting non-standard base-pairing at the 3rd anti-codon position. RNAcentral also lists the same sequence under 1 other name. The record is from Rfam by way of RNAcentral. Lineage: Eukaryota; Metazoa; Chordata; Mammalia; Rodentia; Sciuridae.